RNAcentral lists this ribosomal RNA (1255 nucleotides) under Lamprigera yunnana. RNAcentral describes it as "16S ribosomal RNA". The stretch from base 1016 to 1174 matches the Rfam family "Archaeal large subunit ribosomal RNA", at positions 2542 to 2701 of the family's 2987-position model. The record is from RNAcentral. Lineage: Eukaryota; Metazoa; Arthropoda; Insecta; Coleoptera; Lampyridae.
UAUAUAAUUUAUUAUUUAUGUAUAUUUUUUAAAUAAAUAUUUAAUUUAUUAUUAAUUAGAAAAAUUUAUUAUUAUUAUAGUUUAUUAGUAAAGUGAUUGAAUUAAUUAAUAUUUUAAAAAGAAGAAUUAAUUUUUUGUACCUUGUGUAUCAGGGUUGAUUAAUUAAGAGUUAAUUAUUUAAUUUUCUCGAAUUGGAAAGAUCUAAUUUAAUAUUUAUUUAAUUGUUAUAAAUUUUUAUAAUUUUAAAUUUGAAAUGAAAUGUUAUUCGUUUUUUAAUUUAUCUAGUUUUUUACGAAAAAAAUUUAAUUUUAUAAUUAUUUAUUUAUUUAAUAUUUUUUUUCAAAUAAAUUUUAAUUUUAAAGUAUUAAAGGGAUUAGCUUUUAAUAUAAUUUUUAAAAAUUGAUUAUAAAUUUAAUUUUUGUUUUAUUUGUAUUGUAAAUCAGGUUAUAAUUUAAUAGUUAAGAUUAUUACUUUAUUAUUUUUAUUGGUUUUAAAUUUUCUAUUAAAAAGAAAAUUUUAAUAUGAAUGAUUUUGUUAUAAUGAUUAAAUUAGUAAAUAUUUAUUUAUUUAUAUAAAUUUAUAUAAAUUUAUUAAAAGGAAUUCGGCAAAAUUAAUUUUCGCCUGUUUAAUAAAAACAUGUCCUUUUGAUAAUAAUUUAAGGUCUAAUCUGCUCAAUGAGUAAUUAAAUUGCCGCAGUAUUUUAACUGUGCAAAGGUAGCAUAAUAAUUAGUUUUUUAAAUGGGAUCUAGAAUGAAUGAUUGGACGAGAAAUUGACUGUCUCUUAAUAAUUUUUAUUAAAUUUAACUUUUAAGUAAAAAGGCUUAACUAGAUUUAAAAGACGAGAAGACCCUAUAGAGUUUAAUUGUUUUUUUAAAUAAAAAUUUUUGGAAUUUUUGGAUUUGUUAAAACAAUUUUAUUGGGGCGAUUGAAAGAUUAAUUUAACUCUUUUUAUUUUAAAUCAGUGAUUUAUGAUUAAUAAUUCUAUUUUUAUAAGAUAAAUUUAAAUUACCUUAGGGAUAACAGCGUAAUUUUAUUUUAUAGUUCAUAUUGAAAUUAAAGUUUGCGACCUCGAUGUUGGAUUAAAAUUUAUUUUGGGUGUAGAAGCUUAAAAUUUAAGUCUGUUCGACUUUUAAAAUUUUACAUGAUCUGAGUUUAAACCGGUGUGAGCCAGGUUGGUUUCUAUCUUUAAUUAAUUAAAAUGAUUUAGUACGAAAGGACCAGUUAUUUAAUAUUAUAUUUUGAAUUGAAUAUUAUU